UAGCCAUAUCCUGUAGAAACUACCAGUUCCUGUAUGAACACCAAAAUUAAGCAAUAUCAAGUCUGAUCAGUACCUACAUGGGUGACUAUUUGGGAAUACCAGGUGCUGCAAU
Non-coding RNA from Acanthosepion pharaonis, 112 nucleotides. Lineage: Eukaryota; Metazoa; Mollusca; Cephalopoda; Sepiida; Sepiidae. The record is from the annotation of a GenBank genome assembly.